Molecule: long non-coding RNA, 503 nt
Organism: Oncorhynchus masou masou (cherry salmon)
Lineage: Eukaryota; Metazoa; Chordata; Actinopteri; Salmoniformes; Salmonidae
Exons: 3
Source: RefSeq, a predicted model, not a curated record
GUCAUCUACAAGUGGCCGCGUCGCAUAGAAAUAUUAGUUCCUGCAAAGAUUAUGGAAAAUCCUAAAAGUGCGGUAGCUAAAAUGGCAAGAAACAUUGAGUUUUGGCUUUUUUUGUAGAACUACCUGCAACUGGACACAAACAUUUCAGAUACAUUUCCACCGAAUCGAGAACCAAGACAGUAUCGCCAUGAGCAGUUGGACUUGUUGACUGAUGCCAAGGCGGUGGUUGCUAAGAAGAAAGGAGCAUCUGUGAAACACAAGAUUGCAGCCAAGGCAGCACUGGUUCACACCUGCCUUGUCUGUCGGAUGCAGACCCGAAGACAUUCAAGCAGCACUUUGAGAGCAAGCAUCCCAUGUCUCCAAUGGUCCCAGUACCGGUUGAUGCGCAGACAUAAGUGACCACACACACUCAAAUGGACCUAUAGCUGGAGUAGAUUCUUCCAUCAUUCACACAGAGUAGAUAUUGUGUAAAGCACCAUGUUGUCAACAAAAAGCAGUCCUCA